Molecule: non-coding RNA, 346 nt
Organism: Penaeus vannamei (Pacific white shrimp)
Lineage: Eukaryota; Metazoa; Arthropoda; Malacostraca; Decapoda; Penaeidae
Source: RefSeq, a predicted model, not a curated record
GCUCAACUCCUGAACAUCUCUUCCCAAGAGCAAGUUGGAUCACACUUCCCACGUCCUUAUUGUCUCCAAGGAUUAUUUUAUCGAUCUUUCGGAGCUCAUCUCGACCACCGAUAGAAGUCUUCUCAAUAACUACCUGAUCUUCAACUUUGUGUCAGCCUUCAUGCCGUAUAUGUCAGCAGAGAACAAGCGCGUGUGGGAUCUAUACCACAUGGAAUUUACAGGCCUCCAAGAACCGGCCGAGCGAUGGCAGUUCUGCAUUCGGACGACCUCGAACUUCUUCGGCCUCGCCCUCGGCUCGCUCUACGAGAGGUCGCCGCGGAGACUGAAAGCGAGGCAGCGAAACGGA